GACGAACGCUGGCGGCGUGCUUAACACAUGCAAGUCGAACGGAAAGGCCCUGCUUUUGUGGGGUGCUCGAGUGGCGAACGGGUGAGUAACACGUGAGUAACCUGCCCUUGACUUUGGGAUAACUUCAGGAAACUGGGGCUAAUACCGGAUAGGAGCUCCUGCUGCAUGGUGGGGGUUGGAAAGUUUCGGCGGUUGGGGAUGGACUCGCGGCUUAUCAGCUUGUUGGUGGGGUAGUGGCUUACCAAGGCUUUGACGGGUAGCCGGCCUGAGAGGGUGACCGGCCACAUUGGGACUGAGAUACGGCCCAGACUCCUACGGGAGGCAGCAGUGGGGAAUAUUGUACAAUGGGCGGAAGCCUGAUGCAGCAACGCCGCGUGCGGGAUGACGGCCUUCGGGUUGUAAACCGCUUUCGCCUGUGACGAAGCGCGAGUGACGGUAAUGGGUAAAGAAGCACCGGCUAACUACGUG
This 468-nucleotide ribosomal RNA is filed under the name uncultured bacterium. RNAcentral describes it as "partial 16S ribosomal RNA". It matches the Rfam family "Bacterial small subunit ribosomal RNA", at positions 28 to 507 of the family's 1533-position model. The record is from RNAcentral.